Molecule: ribosomal RNA, 253 nt
Filed under: uncultured bacterium
Lineage: Bacteria
Description: partial 16S ribosomal RNA
Rfam family: Bacterial small subunit ribosomal RNA
Source: RNAcentral
UACGGGGGGGGCAAGCGUUGUUCGGAAUUACUGGGAGUAAAGGGCUCGUAGGCGGCCAACUAAGUCAUACGUGAAAUCCCUCAGCUUAACUGGGGAACUGCGUGUGAUACUGGAUGGCUUGGAUUUGGGAGAGGGAUGCGGAAUUCCAGGUGUAGCGGUGAAAUGCGUAGAUAUUGGGAAGAACACCAGUGGCGAAGGCGGCUAUCUGGCCCGUUAUUGACGCUGAGGCGCGAAAGCGUGGGGAGCAAACAGG